GAUGAACGCUGGCGGCGUGCCUAAUACAUGCAAGUCGAGCGACCGCACGAUAAGCUUUCUCCUCUGAUGUUAGCGGCGGACGGGUGAGUAACACGUGGAUAACCUUCUUCUAAUACUGGGAUAACUUCGUGAAACCGGAGCUACUACCGGAUAAUAUUUUCAACCGCAUGGUUCAAAAGUAAAAGACGCUUUUGCUGUCACUUAUAGCUGGAUCCGCGCUGCAUUAGCUAGUUGGUAAGGUAACGGCUUACCAAGGCAACGAUGCAUAGCCGACCUGAGAGGGUGAUCGGCCACACUGGAACUGAGACACGGUCCAGACUCCUACGGGAGGCAGCAGUAGGGAAUCUUGCGCAAUGGGCGAAAGCCUGACGGAGCAACGCCGCGUGAGUGAUGAAGGUCUUCGGAUCGUAAAGCUCUGUUAUUAGGAAAGAACAGAUGUGUAAGUAACUGUGCACAUCUUGACGGUACCUAAUGAGAAAGCCACGGCUAACUACGUG
RNAcentral lists this ribosomal RNA (497 nucleotides) under uncultured bacterium. RNAcentral's name for it is "partial 16S ribosomal RNA". It matches the Rfam family "Bacterial small subunit ribosomal RNA", at positions 28 to 507 of the family's 1533-position model. The record is from RNAcentral.